Molecule: ribosomal RNA, 676 nt
Filed under: Harringtonia ambrosioides
Lineage: Eukaryota; Fungi; Ascomycota; Sordariomycetes; Ophiostomatales; Ophiostomataceae
Description: Ophiostomataceae sp. JA-2022a partial large subunit ribosomal RNA
Rfam family: Eukaryotic large subunit ribosomal RNA
Source: RNAcentral
GACGAGUCGAGUAGUUUGGGAAUGCUGCUCAAAGCGGGAGGUAAAUUCCUUCUAAAGCUAAAUACCGGCCAGAGACCGAUAGCGCACAAGUAGAGUGAUCGAAAGAUGAAAAGCACUUUGAAAAGAGGGUCAAACAGCACGUGAAAUUGUUGAAAGGGAAGCGCCUGUGGCCAGACUUGCGCCCCACCGCCCACCCUGCGCUGCGGCGCGGGGGCGUGCGCGUGGGGCGCGGGCCAGCAUCGGCUCGCCUGGGGGGACAAAGGCAGCGGGAACGUGGCGCUCUCCGGGGCGUGUUAUAGCCCGCUGCGGAAUGCCCCUGGGUGGGCCGAGGACCGCGCUUCGGCAAGGAUGCUGGCGUAAUGGCCACCGGCGACCCGUCUUGAAACACGGACCAAGGAGUCAAGCAUUGGGGCGAGUGUCCGGGUGGCAAGCCCGCACGCGCAGUGAAAGCAAACGCAGGUGGGAGCUUCGGCGCACCACCGACCGAUCCUGAUGUCUUCGGAUGGAUUUGAGUAGGAGCCCCGCCGCUUGGACCCGAAAGAUGGUGAACUAUGCCUGUAUAGGGCGAAGCCAGAGGAAACUCUGGUGGAGGCUCGCAGCGGUUCUGACGUGCAAAUCGAUCGUCGAAUAUGGGCAUGGGGGCGAAAGACUAAUCGAACCAUCUAGUAGCUGGUUG